RNAcentral lists this ribosomal RNA (477 nucleotides) under uncultured anaerobic ammonium-oxidizing bacterium. RNAcentral's name for it is "bacterial SSU rRNA". It matches the Rfam family "Bacterial small subunit ribosomal RNA", at positions 365 to 832 of the family's 1533-position model. The record is from RNAcentral.
UUCGCAAUGCCCGAAAGGGUGACGAAGCGACGCCGCGUGGGUGAGGAAGGCCUUCGGGUUGUAAAGCCCUGUCAGGAGUUAUGAAAUGUAAGUGCGCUAAUAUCGUGCUUAUUUGACAAAGGCUCCAAAGGAAGCCACGGCUAACUCUGUGCCAGCAGCCGCGGUAAUACAGAGGUGGCGAGCGUUGUUCGGAAUUAUUGGGCGUAAAGAGCACGUAGGUGGGUUUGCAAGUCAGAUGUGAAAGCCUUCUGUUCAACGGAAGAAUUGCAUCUGAAACUGCUAAUCUUGAGUAUAGGAGGGGAGAAUGGAACUUCUGGUGGAGCGGUGAAAUGCGUAGAUAUCAGAAGGAAUGCCGGCGGCGAAAGCGAUUCUCUGGCCUAUUACUGACACUCAGUGUGCGAAAGCUAGGGGAGCAAACGGGAUUAGAUACCCCGGUAGUCCUAGCCGUAAACGAUGGGCACUAAGUAGAGGGGUUUU